RNAcentral lists this ribosomal RNA (495 nucleotides) under Nectriaceae sp. osu_klng_20_1b. RNAcentral's name for it is "eukaryotic LSU rRNA". The stretch from base 131 to 284 matches the Rfam family "5.8S ribosomal RNA". The record is from RNAcentral. Lineage: Eukaryota; Fungi; Ascomycota; Sordariomycetes; Hypocreales; Nectriaceae.
AACCCCUGUGAACAUACCAAUUGUUGCCUCGGCGGAUCAGCCCGCUCCCGGUAAAACGGGACGGCCCGCCAGAGGACCCCUAAACUCUGUUUCUAUAUGUAACUUCUGAGUAAAACCAUAAAUAAAUCAAAACUUUCAACAACGGAUCUCUUGGUUCUGGCAUCGAUGAAGAACGCAGCAAAAUGCGAUAAGUAAUGUGAAUUGCAGAAUUCAGUGAAUCAUCGAAUCUUUGAACGCACAUUGCGCCCGCCAGUAUUCUGGCGGGCAUGCCUGUUCGAGCGUCAUUUCAACCCUCAAGCCCCCGGGUUUGGUGUUGGGGAUCGGCGAGCCCUUGCGGCAAGCCGGCCCCGAAAUCUAGUGGCGGUCUCGCUGCAGCUUCCAUUGCGUAGUAGUAAAACCCUCGCAACUGGUACGCGGCGCGGCCAAGCCGUUAAACCCCCAACUUCUGAAUGUUGACCUCGGAUCAGGUAGGAAUACCCGCUGAACUUAAGCAUG